RNAcentral lists this ribosomal RNA (562 nucleotides) under uncultured Chloroflexota bacterium. RNAcentral's name for it is "bacterial SSU rRNA". It matches the Rfam family "Bacterial small subunit ribosomal RNA", at positions 338 to 915 of the family's 1533-position model. The record is from RNAcentral. Lineage: Bacteria; Bacillati; Chloroflexota.
CCUACGGGAGGCAGCAGUGAGGAAUAUUGCACAAUGGGGGCAACCCUGAUGCAGCAACGCCGCGUGGGUGAUGAAGGCUUUCGGGUCGUAAAACCCUUUUCUGGGGGACGAGAAAGGACGGUACCUCAGGAAUAAGUCCCGGCUAACUACGUGCCAGCAGCCGCGGUAAAACGUAGGGGGCAAGCGUUAUCCGGAUUUACUGGGCGUAAAGCGCGUGCAGGCGGCUUGGUAGGUUGGACGUGAAAGCUCCCGGCUCAACUGGGAGAGGCCGUUCAAUACCGCUAGGCUUGAGGGCGGAAGAGGGGAGUGGAAUUCCCGGUGUAGUGGUGGAAUGCGUAGAGAUCGGGAGGAACACCAGUGGCGAAGGCGACUCCCUGGUCCGUACCUGACGCUAAGACGCGAAAGCAUGGGGAGCGAACGGGAUUAGAUACCCCGGUAGUCCACGCCGUAAACGAUGGAUGCUAGGUGUGGGUGGUAUUGACCCCAUCCGUGCCGUAGCUAACGCAUUAAGUGCCCCGCCUGGGGAGUACGGCCGCAAGGCUAAAACUCAAAGGAAUUGACG